GUCGGAUACACGGACACAUACAGAUGUAUACGAAUACUGUAUAUGAAAAUUGUGAUUGAGAUUUAGACUAAUACAACUAGAUUUUAAAAAGAUUUUUCCAUUUCCAAUUUCCAAUGUCACUGAUGCAUGUUUCAAAUGGGUGGACAUUAAAGUGUCUUGGUUAAAUGUAUAUGUAAAAAUGUUAUGUAGCAGAUGCACACCAUAUAAUAAACUGUCAAACUAUGUCAAACUUGUUAAUUGACUAAGAUAAGAAACACGCUAACCAACCAGAUGCAAUUAGCACAUGGUCACAUAAGGUCAGCCUUGCAAUAGUUGCAAUUAUUUUACCAAGAAUUAAGACCGCCGUAAACCUCAUUUAAGAACAUGGAGGAACCUUGGAGCUCCAGACGGCCUGAUCACUCUGGCUGAUAAGCCACCGCAGAUUGCAGCUGCUAGCAGUAGCUCUGGACUGAUUUGCUGCUUGGUUAAGGGGCAAAGAAAAACACCAGCCCCGGCCUGCAAGUAUGUUGGCGGUAAAAUCUGGAGCAUGUUUGCUUUACUGGUGCGAGCUCGGACACUGGUCCACAUUCCACUGACCCCCACUUCUCUGUGUUUUCACAGGAAAUAAACAGAGGCUUGUUGCGGCUGCGUUAUCACUCCCUGUCUGUUUGGAGCACAACCAAAAGCUACAAAUCUGCAGAGCUGCCCAGUGGCGGGCGAGCAUGAAAUAACUCAUCAGGUUACGAGUCAUUUUCAAGGGGUGACUGAGUAAAGGUGGCUGUAUUAAGUGUGAAAGGAAUCAGGGCCAAGAGCGCAAUCACUCUCUGAUUGGACUGAUCUGAUUUUUCCUCCGCAAGUGGGGAAAAAAACAUUCUGCAUUUCUGAAGCAGCAUGUCAUUCACCGAAUGAGCAGAACUGCCUUCAAAAUAGGCAAAUCUAACAUAAGAAUGGUGGCAAGACUUUACCAAGUAAGACGGACUGGAGAUGUUUUCUCAGCAGGAUGGUUUGGCAACACUGAGAAUCCCCAGUGAGAAAGAAAGAAAAAUGACGGGCAGCGGAGAGAGGAAUGAAUUCUCAUUUGGCUAGAGACCCACAACCACCCACCCACAUACAGGAGAACAAGGACUCAGUUGGCUGAAGUUUCUGAUAAACCACUGCAGUAUGGGAAAGCUCAUCACUCAUCUUCAAAUGGUUAUCAGAAAAAAAAA
Molecule: long non-coding RNA, 1187 nt
Organism: Cyprinus carpio carpio
Lineage: Eukaryota; Metazoa; Chordata; Actinopteri; Cypriniformes; Cyprinidae
Source: Ensembl